This 431-nucleotide long non-coding RNA is filed under the name Phoenix dactylifera (date palm). Its description in RNAcentral is "long non-coding RNA (PDAC_LNC003320)". The record is from RNAcentral. Lineage: Eukaryota; Viridiplantae; Streptophyta; Magnoliopsida; Arecales; Arecaceae.
UUUGAUCUACUUUGCUUGAGAGUGAAAAAUAUGAAAAACAAAAGGAAAGCUUGGAGUUUGCUUCCUUUUUAAUUUGGUACUAUGCAGAAUCUGUUGGAUUUUAUAGACACCAUGUAGAAGAUUAGAAUGCAAACAACUAUAAAUCAAACCAGAAGAGAUCAAAGUCUACUUUGAGAGUCCUGAGCAGCUAUUGAUGAUCGCUGCAGCAAAAUCCUGCAGAAGAAGAAAGUACAAAAAAUGGGGUAGAUCUUCCUCUCCAUCUCCUUCUUGAUGCCUGUCUCCUCAAUGGGAUAGGUGUCCCCUAGGAACGUAGAGACCUUGUUGCCCUUGGAAUUCUCUACAGGCAGAUAUAUAUAGGAAUGGAGUUGAGUCCUAGCCCAUUUAGUAAUGCUAAUGGGUCCACCCAUUACAGAGCCUAUUAACCAAAUCAG